CCCUUAGAUGUUCUGGGCCGCACGCGCGCUACACUGACGAAGUCAGCGAGCAUCUCCUUCGCCGAAAGGUGCGGGGAAUCUUGUGAAACUUUGUCGUGCUGGGGAUUGAUUUUUGAAAUUCUUGAUCAUCAACGAGGAAUUCCUAGUAAGCGCAAGUCAGCAGCUUGCGUUGAUUACGUCCCUGCCCUUUGUACACACCGCCCGUCGCUCCUACCGAUUGGGUGUGCUGGUGAAAUGUUCGGAUCGGCCGUUUGUCGCGGUUUCCGCGUCAUGUGGCUGAGAAGUUCAUUAAACCCUCCCACCUAGAGGAAGGAGAAGUCGUAACA
Molecule: ribosomal RNA, 326 nt
Filed under: uncultured eukaryote
Lineage: Eukaryota
Description: partial 18S ribosomal RNA
Rfam family: Eukaryotic small subunit ribosomal RNA
Source: RNAcentral